This 91-nucleotide microRNA precursor is filed under the name Theobroma cacao (cacao). RNAcentral's name for it is "pre miRNA mir-166". It matches the Rfam family "mir-166 microRNA precursor family". From Rfam's summary of the family: This family represents the plant microRNA (miRNA) precursor mir-166. Animal miRNAs are transcribed as ~70nt precursors and subsequently processed by the Dicer enzyme to give a ~22nt product. Lineage: Eukaryota; Viridiplantae; Streptophyta; Magnoliopsida; Malvales; Malvaceae. RNAcentral also lists the same sequence under 1 other name. The record is from Rfam by way of RNAcentral.
GUUGAGGGGAAUGCUGUCUGGUUCGAGACCGUUCAUUUGAAGCUCUAGACUUCAUCAGAAUGAUCUCGGACCAGGCUUCAUUCCCCCCAAC